RNAcentral lists this ribosomal RNA (488 nucleotides) under uncultured bacterium. Its description in RNAcentral is "partial 16S ribosomal RNA". It matches the Rfam family "Bacterial small subunit ribosomal RNA", at positions 30 to 506 of the family's 1533-position model. The record is from RNAcentral.
UUGAACGCUGGCGGCAGGCCUAACACAUGCAAGUCGAACGGUAACAGGAAACAGCUUGCUGUUUCGCUGACGAGUGGCGGACGGGUGAGUAAUGUCUGGGAAACUGCCUGAUGGAGGGAGAUAACUACUGGAAACGGUAGCUAAUACCGCAUAACGUCGCAAGACCAAAGAGGGGGACCUUCGGGCCUCUUGCCAUCGGAUGUGCCCAGAUGGGAUUAGCUAGUAGGUGGGGUAACGGCUCACCUAGGCGACGAUCCCCAGCUGGUCUGAGAGGAUGACCAGCCACACUGGAACUGAGACACGGUCCAGACUCCUACGGGAGGCAGCAGUGGGGAAUAUUGCACAAUGGGCGCAAGCCUGAUGCAGCCAUGCCGCGUGUAUGAAGAAGGCCUUCGGGUUGUAAAGUACUUUCAGCGGGGAGGAAGGGAGUAAAGUUAAUACCUUUACUCAUUGACGUUACCCGCAGAAGAAGCACCGGCUAACUCCGU